RNAcentral lists this non-coding RNA (31 nucleotides) under Mus musculus (house mouse). The record is from RNAcentral. Lineage: Eukaryota; Metazoa; Chordata; Mammalia; Rodentia; Muridae.
UAUUAGUCCGUAAAACUAGCAGUAGUUGAUA